GUGCUCACUUUGGCAGCACAUAUACUAAAAUUGGAAUGGCACAGAGAAGAUCAGCGUGGCCUCUUGCACAAGGACGACAUACAAAAUUCAUGAAGCCUCCCAUAUUUUU
This is a small nuclear RNA of Hyaena hyaena (striped hyena), 109 nucleotides long. The record is from RefSeq and is a predicted model, not a curated record. NCBI's taxonomy places the organism in Eukaryota, Metazoa, Chordata, Mammalia, Carnivora, Hyaenidae.